UGCCUACGGGGCGCAGCAGUGGGGAAUAUUGGGCAAUGGGCGCAAGCCUGACCCAGCAACGCCGCGUGAAGGAAGAAGGCUUUCGGGUUGUAAACUUCUUUUGACAGGGAAGAGUAGAAGACGGUACCUGUCGAAUAAGCCACGGCUAACUACGUGCCAGCAGCCGCGGUAAUACGUAGGGGGCAAGCGUUAUCCGGAUUUACUGGGUGUAAAGGGAGCGUAGACGGUUAAUCAAGUCAGAAGUGAAAACC
RNAcentral lists this ribosomal RNA (251 nucleotides) under uncultured bacterium. RNAcentral describes it as "partial 16S ribosomal RNA". It matches the Rfam family "Bacterial small subunit ribosomal RNA", at positions 335 to 602 of the family's 1533-position model. The record is from RNAcentral.